AGAGUUUGAUCCUGGCUCAGCCUGAACGCUGGCGGCGUGGCUAAGACAUGCAAGUCGUACGAUCCCCGCAAGGGGAUAGUGGCGAACGGGUGAGUAAUGUAUCGCUAACGUGCCCCCGAGUCUGGGAUAGCCGGCCGAAAGGCCGGGUAAUACCAGAUAAGACCACGGAGUCGCAUGGCUCUGUGCUCAAAGGGAAACCGCUCAGGGAGCGGGCGAUAUCGUAUCAGCUGGUUGGUAGGGUAACGGCCUACCAAGGCGACGACGCGUAGCCGGACUGAGAGGUCGACCGGCCACAUCGGGACUGAGACACUGCCCGGACUCCUACGGGGGGCUGCAGUAACGAAUCUUCCACAAUGCACGCAAGUGUGAUGGAGCGACGCCGCGUGUGGGAUGAAGUCCUUCGGGAUGUAAACCACUGUCAGGGGAAAGAAAGUACUGAUCUACCCCAGAGGAAGGCACGGCUAACUCUGUGCCAGCCGCCGCGGUAAUAC
This 491-nucleotide ribosomal RNA is filed under the name uncultured bacterium. RNAcentral's name for it is "bacterial SSU rRNA". It matches the Rfam family "Bacterial small subunit ribosomal RNA", at positions 8 to 526 of the family's 1533-position model. The record is from RNAcentral.